UACGUAGGGUGCAAGCGUUGUCCGGAAUUAUUGGGCGUAAAGGGCUCGUAGGCGGUCUGUCGCGUCAGGAGUGAAAACUCGGGGCUUAACCCCGAGCCUGCUUCUGAUACGGGCAGACUAGAGGUAUGCAGGGGAGAAUGGAAUUCCUGGUGUAGCGGUGAAAUGCGCAGAUAUCAGGAGGAACACCGGUGGCGAAGGCGGUUCUCUGGGCAGUAACUGACGCUGAGGAGCGAAAGCGUGGGGAGCGAACAGG
Molecule: ribosomal RNA, 253 nt
Filed under: uncultured bacterium
Lineage: Bacteria
Description: partial 16S ribosomal RNA
Rfam family: Bacterial small subunit ribosomal RNA
Source: RNAcentral